GACGAACGCUGGCGGCGUGCUUAACACAUGCAAGUCGAACGGUAAGGCCCCAGCUUGCUGGGGUACACGAGUGGCGAACGGGUGAGUAACACGUGGGUGACCUGCCCCGCACUUCGGGAUAAGCCUGGGAAACUGGGUCUAAUACCGGAUAGGACCGCACCGUGAGGGUGUGGUGGAAAGUUUUUCGGUGUGAGAUGGGCCCGCGGCCUAUCAGCUUGUUGGUGGGGUAAUGGCCUACCAAGGCGGCGACGGGUAGCCGGCCUGAGAGGGUGGACGGCCACAUUGGGACUGAGACACGGCCCAGACUCCUACGGGAGGCAGCAGUGGGGAAUAUUGCACAAUGGGCGGAAGCCUGAUGCAGCGACGCCGCGUGGGGGAUGACGGCCUUCGGGUUGUAAACUCCUUUCACCAUCGACGAAGGUUUUCUGACGGUAGAUGGAGAAGAAGCACCGGCUAACUACGUG
RNAcentral lists this ribosomal RNA (464 nucleotides) under uncultured bacterium. Its description in RNAcentral is "partial 16S ribosomal RNA". It matches the Rfam family "Bacterial small subunit ribosomal RNA", at positions 28 to 507 of the family's 1533-position model. The record is from RNAcentral.